This 341-nucleotide unclassified non-coding RNA is filed under the name soil metagenome. RNAcentral describes it as "partial contains 5.8S ribosomal RNA, internal transcribed spacer 2, and large subunit ribosomal RNA". The stretch from base 1 to 121 matches the Rfam family "5.8S ribosomal RNA", at positions 35 to 154 of the family's 154-position model. The record is from RNAcentral.
GAUGAAGAACGUAGCGAAAUGCGAUAAGUAGUGUGAAUUGCAGAAUUCAGCGAAUCAUCGAAUCUUUGAACGCACAUUGCGCCCUUCGGUUAUUCCUUAGGGCAUGCCUGUUCGAGCGUCAUUUCAACCUUCAAGCCUGGCUUGGUGUUGGGCGCUGUCCCGCCUCCGCGCGCGGACUCGCCCCAAAUGAAUUGGCAGUCGCACCCUCCGAGCCGCGAGCGCAGCACAAGUCGCGCGGGCGGAACUCUGGGGGGACGGACGCUCCACAAGACCCUUUCUCAGUCUUGACCUCGGAUCAGGUAGGGAUACCCGCUGAACUUAAGCAUAUCAAUAGCGGAGGA